CACAGCGCAUACAAUGUGGAUGC
RNAcentral lists this microRNA (23 nucleotides) under Ictalurus punctatus (channel catfish). RNAcentral describes it as "ipu-miR-460". Its record names the gene ipu-miR-460. Lineage: Eukaryota; Metazoa; Chordata; Actinopteri; Siluriformes; Ictaluridae. The record is from miRBase by way of RNAcentral. RNAcentral also lists the same sequence under 1 other name.